RNAcentral lists this long non-coding RNA (407 nucleotides) under Gallus gallus (chicken). RNAcentral describes it as "long non-coding RNA NONGGAT004042". Lineage: Eukaryota; Metazoa; Chordata; Aves; Galliformes; Phasianidae. The record is from RNAcentral.
UUUCUGCAAGACUUUUUAAAAGAAUGACUGGCAGCCGGUCGUCCGAGGUUCACUUUACUGAUACCUUAAUAAAAUUCUUUGCCGGACUUGGAACGGGAGUAUCUUGGUGAUGCGAGAUGGGCAGUCAGCACUCUGUGAAACAACUCUGCCCCAAAGGAGGUCUUACAAUUACAUCCUUGGCCCGCUUGUGUAUCUGAGAUACAGAGACAGCCUGGUUGGUUUUACGGUUCCUCGUAUCCAAGAUGUGGCAAAGGUCUGGGGGAGCUGAACUCUUUGCAUUUCAUUAUGCAGUGUCCUGGAGAAAGCAAAGCAGACAGCGUUAGAAAGUACAGCGGAAAGUCACGCAUGCCUGAGGUGUUUUCAAGAAACGAAAAGUAAUCUGUAGUCAAAAAUGGUCUGAUCAGCUG